CACAGAGCCAUUGAUAAAUCAAAGGUCCUUUAUUAUCCAUAACUGACCGGAUAUACCGCAGUGUAGGACAGAACAAAAUGACAGAGGAAAUGAUAUUGGAAAAAGCAUAAGAACAACGUGUCACUAUCGUUUUAGGGUAGGCCCAUCUGGUGGGAUCUUCUCACCACUCUUGGUGUCUCUCCCCUGGGGAGGAUGGAUGCGGAGGCAGCAUCUGCGUCUCCCUCCUCCACGGUGGCGGGGCCCUCCACACAGUGGUGUCUGACAGAGUGGAGGAGUAGGAAGGCGGGCUCAGGGAACAUCUGACUGGAUCCUCAAAAGGUUCUACAGCUGCACCAUCGAGAGCAUCACUGCCUGUUAUGACAACUGCUCAGCCUCUGACUGCAAGGCACUACAAAGGGUAGUGCGAAUGUCCCAGAACAUCACUGCGGCCAAGCUUCCUGCCAUCCAGGACCUCUAUACCAAGAGUAGUCAGAGUCCAGCCACCCUCGUCAGACUGUUCUCUCUGCUACAGCACAGUAACCAGCAACGGAGCUCCAUGUCUAGGUCCCAGAGGCUUCUAAACAGCUUCUACCCUCAAGCCAAAUGGCUACCCAGACUAUUUGCAGUGACCCCCCCCUCCCCUCCUUACACCACUGCUACUCUGUUGUCAUCUAUGCAUAGUCACUUCAAUAACUCUACCUACAUUGUACAUACUACCUCAAAUAACCGGUGCCCCCGCAACCAGUGCCCCCGCACAUUUCACUAUACAUGAAAAACAACACAAAAAGCUAAACACGAUCAUAUGAAACAAUCUUCAGUAAAAAAAAAAUUUAAAAAAAAAUCGAACUAAUCCUUGGUUCUCUAUAAAACUUUCAUGUCGUGUUAAAAUGAGACAGAGAAUAACAGAAUUAUCCUGUGGCUCGCCGCCACAAGUGUCCACGACUGAACUGUGGAAUGACAUAAACCAGCAGACCAUAAGGUACCGCUAAAUUAUCUGGUGUUUACCUGGAAAUAGUAGGCUAAGAGGAAGUCAAUACAUAAUAAUGACCUGAUUUUAUUUGAUCAACAUUCCUUUGAAAUAAAUCAACCAACUCUGCCUCCCAAUUCUCCGCCCUCUCUAGAAGUCAGCAAUAUGGACACUCUCGGUCAUGGAUUUAAAAACAUGUGACUGGUGUAAGCAUGGGCUGGAUUGAGUUGCCACGAUUGCUAAAUCCAUGUUAGAAAAGUGUGCAAGGGCUCGCUUUGGGAGAAGGGUAGAAAAUCAGGAUGCAAUCUAAGAGACAAGAAAAGUACAAGAAACCUUGAUAAUGGAAUAGUGCAAUUCUUUAUGCAUUUCAUUCUUUACAUACAGUACAAAUCGUAUCAGUGGAGGCUGCGAAGGGGAGGACAGCUCAUAAUGGCUGGAACGGAGUAAAUGAAAUGGCAAACGCAUGGAAACCAUGUCUUUAAUACAAUCCCAUUCCACUCCAUCCAUUACCACAAGCCCCUCCCCAAUUAAGGUGCCACCAACCUCCUGUGAUUUGUCAAUACAAUACAUUAGUAGGACAGUUUGGUUACUAUAGCAGGAAAUGUACAUUUAAAUAAACAAGAUGUGAGGAAACAGGCAAUGUGCGUUUCUGAGACAGUACAUUGCAGUCAUCCCAUAGGUGGCGCCACAGGGCUGCCAUCACAUGCAGAUGCCCAUAACACAACAGGCAC
Oncorhynchus kisutch (coho salmon) is the source of this 1677-nucleotide long non-coding RNA. RefSeq lists it as uncharacterized. The transcript has 3 exons. Lineage: Eukaryota; Metazoa; Chordata; Actinopteri; Salmoniformes; Salmonidae. The record is from RefSeq and is a predicted model, not a curated record.